GCGGAGGUGGCACAGUGGCUACUGCAACCGGUUGCAGCCCGGUUUUUCGUGGGUUCGAGUCCCACCCUCCGCU
This 73-nucleotide transfer RNA is filed under the name Candidatus Pacearchaeota archaeon. RNAcentral describes it as "tRNA-Cys". It matches the Rfam family "tRNA". From Rfam's summary of the family: Transfer RNA (tRNA) molecules are approximately 80 nucleotides in length. Their secondary structure includes four short double-helical elements and three loops (D, anti-codon, and T loops). The record is from RNAcentral. Lineage: Archaea; Nanobdellati.